UGGAUGAAUGAUGAUGACUGGUGCAUAUGAGUCGUGGAGGAUUAAUAAUACGUGUCUGGAACUCUGAGGUCCAA
Molecule: small nucleolar RNA, 74 nt
Organism: Diceros bicornis minor
Lineage: Eukaryota; Metazoa; Chordata; Mammalia; Perissodactyla; Rhinocerotidae
Product: small nucleolar RNA SNORD113/SNORD114 family
Exons: 1
Source: RefSeq, a predicted model, not a curated record